GCAGUCGAGCGGACAGAUGGGAGCUUGCUCCCUGAUGUUAGCGGCGGACGGGUGAGUAACACGUGGGUAACCUGCCUGUAAGACUGGGAUAACUCCGGGAAACCGGGGCUAAUACCGGAUGGUUGUCUGAACCGCAUGGUUCAGACAUAAAAGGUGGCUUCGGCUACCACUUACAGAUGGACCCGCGGCGCAUUAGCUAGUUGGUGAGGUAACGGCUCACCAAGGCGACGAUGCGUAGCCGACCUGAGAGGGUGAUCGGCCACACUGGGACUGAGACACGGCCCAGACUCCUACGGGAGGCAGCAGUAGGGAAUCUUCCGCAAUGGACGAAAGUCUGACGGAGCAACGCCGCGUGAGUGAUGAAGGUUUUCGGAUCGUAAAGCUCUGUUGUUAGGGAAGAACAAGUGCCGUUCAAAUAGGGCGGCACCUUGACGGUACCUAACCAGAAAGCCACGGCUAACUACGUGCCAGCAGCCGCGUAAUACGUAGGUGGCAAGCGUUGUCCGAAAUUAUUGGGCGUAACGGGCUCGCAGGCGGUUUCUUAAGUCUGAUGUGAAAGCCCCCGGCUCAACCGGGGAGGGUCAUUGAAAACUGGGAAACUUGAGUGCAGAAGAGGAGAGUGAAUUCCACGUGUAGCGUUGAAAUGCGUAAAGAUGUGAAGAACACAGGGGAAAAGGCGACUCUCGG
Molecule: ribosomal RNA, 687 nt
Filed under: Bacillus velezensis
Lineage: Bacteria; Bacillati; Bacillota; Bacilli; Caryophanales; Bacillaceae
Description: bacterial SSU rRNA
Rfam family: Bacterial small subunit ribosomal RNA
Source: RNAcentral